This 83-nucleotide transfer RNA is filed under the name Mycobacterium sp. OTB74. RNAcentral's name for it is "tRNA-Tyr". It matches the Rfam family "tRNA". From Rfam's summary of the family: Transfer RNA (tRNA) molecules are approximately 80 nucleotides in length. Their secondary structure includes four short double-helical elements and three loops (D, anti-codon, and T loops). Further hydrogen bonds mediate the characteristic L-shaped molecular structure. tRNAs have two regions of fundamental functional importance: the anti-codon, which is responsible for specific mRNA codon recognition, and the 3' end, to which the tRNAs corresponding amino acid is attached (by aminoacyl-tRNA synthetases). tRNAs cope with the degeneracy of the genetic code in two manners: having more than one tRNA (with a specific anti-codon) for a particular amino acid; and 'wobble' base-pairing, i.e. permitting non-standard base-pairing at the 3rd anti-codon position. The record is from RNAcentral. Lineage: Bacteria; Bacillati; Actinomycetota; Actinomycetes; Mycobacteriales; Mycobacteriaceae.
GGCAGGUUGCCCGAGUGGCCAAUGGGAGCGGACUGUAAAUCCGUCGGCGGAAGCCUACACAGGUUCGAAUCCUGUACCUGCCA